Molecule: non-coding RNA, 204 nt
Organism: Oryza glaberrima (African rice)
Lineage: Eukaryota; Viridiplantae; Streptophyta; Magnoliopsida; Poales; Poaceae
Source: Rfam
UUUAAGUGCAACUAUGAGUUUCUGUGCCCAACUUUGAACAUCCGUCUUAUUUGAAAAUUUUUUAUAAUUAGUAUUUUUGUUGUUAUGAGAUGAUAAAAACAUGAACAAUACUUUACUUGUGACUUAUGUUUUUAAAUUUUUAAAAAAAUUUCAAAUAAGAUGGACGAUCAAAAUUGGGCCCCGAAAACCAUGGCGACACUUAAA